This 253-nucleotide ribosomal RNA is filed under the name uncultured bacterium. RNAcentral's name for it is "partial 16S ribosomal RNA". It matches the Rfam family "Bacterial small subunit ribosomal RNA", at positions 524 to 776 of the family's 1533-position model. The record is from RNAcentral.
GACGUAGGGGGCCAGCGUUGUUCGGAAUUACUGGGUGUAAAGGGUUCGUAGGCGGUGUGGCAAGUCGGGAGUGAAAUCUCUGGGCUCAACCCAGAGUCUGCUUCCGAAACUGCUGUGCUUGAGUGUGGGAGAGGCGCGUGGAAUUGCAGGUGUAGCGGUGAAAUGCGUAGAUAUCUGCAGGAACACCCGUGGCGAAAGCGGCGCGCUGGACCACUACUGACGCUGAGGAACGAAAGCUAGGGGAGCAAACAGG